AGAAGCGACGCGUUUAGAAUGCUUGGUCUCUGUAUGAGUAAAAACAAAACGUUUCUUCUUAAUAAUUGAUUGUUUGGGCUAGAAAUUGUACAUUCAUGCUCGCAUUUACAGCACCUCUGCAUAUCUCGCUGCUGUUAAUCCGCGUAUGCGCAGUAAACGCCUCUAUUGUCUCCAGCAGCAGCAGCGGCGGCGGCGGCGAGCGAGUGAGUGAGCGCACGGACGGAUCUGCGCGGGCAGGGAGCGGCACACACUGACCCGAAUCUCCAGGCAGACGGAGGGAGGACGAACGGACCUGGACGUGGACACUGGACGGGCAUCAACAGACAAUCAUGGCUGAUAUAUAUAUUAAGUCAUUCCUUUCUGAAUAAGAGAGAAGUACUGCGGAUUGUUGCGCGUGUCAUCGUCUCUGGUGAUUUUGGGCAGCCUGUCCUGUCAGUUGGUAAUAAGGGGAGAGAACGUGUUGCGUUUUUUGCUUUAUUGAAUUACGCGACAUUGUGCCUUUUGGCUUUAUUAUCAGCCUCUUGUUCUCUAGUGAGUUAAGGUGAUUAUAGAGACUUUAAGUCCAUGAUUCGACCAAGAAAAUGGGCUGUUGCGUCUACGAGACACAUCUGUUUUAGUCGGAUUUUAGCGCUUGUUUUGGUCGCUUGUCUGAAGGAGGCUUGAAAAAGCGCCGCAGACAAGCGUAUCGGGGCCGAUCUGUGACACCUAUUCCGCGACACCUCCACUUAAUUUUAGCGGAUACUUUUGGAUGGGGGGCAAGCAGAGUACGGCGGGGCGACCCCGGGGAGCUUUUCCCGGUGUCUCGACAGAUGACAGCGCGGUGCCACCCUCGGCCCACUUCGGACACUACCGGCCAGGUGGCACGAUGGGACUGCGUAGUCGCUCUGUGAGCUCCGUGGCGGGGAUGGGCAUAGAUCACAGCGCCACGGUGCCCUUCGGGUUUUACACCCCCAGAGGAACAGACUCGGACAGAGCCGGAGGGGGGUCUGGCUCCGAUUCAGCCCAUAACGGGAACGGCUACCAGGAAACGGGCGGCGGGCACCACACGGACGGUAUGCUUUACCUGGGAUCCCGCGCGUCACUGGCAGACACUUUGCCCCUGCACAUCGCGCCCCGAUGGUUUAGCGCUCACAGCGGAUUUAAGUGUCCCGUCUGCUCCAAAUUAGUGGCACCCAAUGAGAUGGAAGUUCACUUUAUCAUGUGUCUGAGCAAGCCCCGCCUCUCCUACAAUGAUGACGUGUUGUCAAGAGAUGCUGGAGAGUGUGUAAUAUGUCUCGAUGAGCUACAGCAGGGAGACACAAUCGCUAGACUGCCGUGCCUCUGUAUCUAUCAUAAAAGACUCCUGGUUUGAGAUCAACCGCUCCUGCCCUGAACAUCCUUCAGACUGACCUCAUCUACUGCUACCAUUAAGAAAGGGCACUUUAUGGACCUAAACCAGAAUAUCCUGACACAAAAAUAACCAAAUAAAACUACCAACCAAUUUGAUCAAACCUUGGAAAUGUGUCAUCGCAAAACUGAACCAAAUACAAAGAGUCCAUCCAGCCAACACUGUCAUUACCACUUGCAUCUUGCUAGAGACUGCUAAACUGCUUACUGGCCCCCACGCCGACCAUGAACACUGGAUCUCUCUGGCUUUGGAAAACAUCUAGCUUCUUGCCCCCCUCUACAUAAUCUAUGUUCUUAUAGACAUGCGUGUUCAAGUCUGCAUUCUGGCCCACUCCUCUCUCCUACUAGUUUAUGUUUUCAAAUGGAAGGAGAGGGGAAAGAUGGGGUAGGGCUUAAAAGGGCGGGGCAGAGGCAGCAAACAAGUAGGAAGUAGGCCAUGCUUUGCGACCAGUCCAGAGGCCAUACCUGAUGCUGUUUAGAGGGGCGUUGGCUUCAAAUCGUCCUAUAGAGGACUGUGGAAGGGGGCGGGGUUUGGAUGCAGGCACACACCUAGUUCGUGGAAGGAGUCUGAUGCGUGUUUGAGUGUCGUUUCACUCUUUGGUGAUGUGUUGGGCAACCGGUGGAUGUAGAUGUACUUAUUCUGUGUGUGCAUGUGCGUGUGAACAUUUGUCCAUGGACGGGGAGAAAUGUGUAAAUUGUGUUUCUUGUUAGCGGUGUAGGCAGAUGAAGACAUCAGCACGUGUGUGUUGGGUUGGGGUUUAAAGGGAUAGUUCAUACAAAGAUGAAAAUUUGGUCAUUAUUUAUUCGUCCUCAUGUCAUUUCAAACCUGUAUGACUUUCUUUCUUCCAUGGAAGACAAAAAUAAAUUUUUGAAGAAUAUCCUGGCUGCUCUUUACUAUACACUGAAAGUGAAUGAGGACUGGACCUUAUAAGCUUCAAAAUAGCAAAAAAAGCACCAUAAAAGUAUAAUAAAAGUUGUUUAAAUGACUUAAUCAUAAUUUUCUGAAGUCAUUCUUUAAGUCAUUGUUCAAUGAUAACUGAAUCAUUGAGUCCAGUCUAAUCAUUUAGACUGUUUUUUGAACUAGGUCAACCGAUUCAUUGAAAAGAUCUGACUCAAAAGAACGAUUCAUUCACGAGUCUGACAUCACUACUUCUCCCAUGAACGUGCCAAGGAGAGCUAGGGCGAAUGGCAAGAUUUUCAGCAAAUAACAACAUUAGAUUUUGGUCUAUUUUUUUAAUAAAGCUAUGGUAUCAGAAGACUUCGAAUAUAGCGCAUGAGUCAUCGGACAUUUUUAUGUUACUUUACGGUUCUUUUAUGUCAUUUUGGAACUUGACAGUGUCAGUCUGAAGAAAAAAAGUCAUAUGGGUUUGGAAAUAAUGACAGAAUUUUCAUUUUUGGGUAAACUAGUACUUUAAGGUAAGAAAAGGAGAGAAAUAUACUCUCAUUCUGUCUUUCAAAUGUUUACAAUUCACAGUAGAUGUCUUUCCCUCCACGGAUUCAAACGAAAACAAGCUAAAAGCUAUUUUCCUUAUUUUUCAUCUGCAGAUUUUGGGAAGUUAUUAUGAAACGCUGACCAUAAUAUUCAGACAGUUUCCCUGUAAAAGCCUUGAGUAUGUGUUUGAUGUGUGCGUAUGUGUGUGUGUGUGUGUGAUUUCAAAAGCUUCUGUCCAUCUUCCCAUGUUUUCUCUAUGUGACCGACCAGCUUAUGUCUGGUAAAGCUAAUGUUGCUUCACUACUGUAUGUAAAGCCCAGAUAUACUGGUGUGAAUCUAUUACAAGAUCAUUUCUAUGAUCUACAUUUACUUUUUAUUUUUGAAAAUCUGUGAGAAACCACAUGAAAAAAAAAAAAAACUAUUUAACCUUCAGGAUGCCUCUGUCUACUGUAUAAACAGCAAGCACUGUUAGAAAAUAAUGUUGCUGAAAAAAGAAGAAAAAAGAAAUCAGAACAAAUGAAAAUGUAAGGAGUAAAAUAAAACAAAUAACUGCAAGGAAAAAAACUGACAACUAUUAAUUGUGUGUCGGAUAGAAAUAGAGCAUUUUUGAUGGUCUUUUUUUGCUUUGUGCCUGUAAAUGAGGGCAAACAAACACCAUCCAUCAAAACAGUGGAUAACAAUUUUGCCUCGCCAUGAAAUACAAAUCAAACAAAUGAAGUUGGAUAGUGUAGUACUACACAGCGCAGCUUUGUCUGUGGAAAGUGACUCGGCACUCUCAAAACCCGUCCUUUUCGUUAUUUUUCUUUCGUUCAUUUUUAUUUUUUGUCUGUUCUUUUGUGUUUUUUUUUUUUUUGUUUUGUUUUUUUUCAAAGAAGUGAAUGGAUGCCUGUUAUAGGAGGUACAAACUAACUGUCUGAUGAUUUUGAUGUGCAAUCUGUGGGACGAGUAAUAAUGAUGAUGAUUAUCAUACAUAUAAUUAA
Molecule: RNA transcript, 3798 nt
Organism: Myxocyprinus asiaticus (Chinese sucker)
Lineage: Eukaryota; Metazoa; Chordata; Actinopteri; Cypriniformes; Catostomidae
Gene name: E3 ubiquitin-protein ligase znrf1-like
Exons: 5
Source: RefSeq, a predicted model, not a curated record